AUGACCCUUGAGUCUGCAGAACCCAAGGGAAAAAGGCUUAGGUGGCAAAUGGUAAAACCAAGGUUGGGCCUUGCUGGAGGAGUUUUAUUCAAAGCGAAUUGUCAAGGGGUUCCCAUUAUAACCCAACCGCGUAAGGAACGCAAAAUCAAGGAACAUAACACCGGUAUGACGAAAACUAGGGCGGCAAGAUUGGAACAAAACACCAGGCAUAAGGCUGAGCCUUCCACCCUUUACCAAGUAUAUAGGUGCAUUAAAGUAAACAAGAUAUAUUGUGAUAUCCAAAACAAUAACCAUGUUCCAACAUGGAACAAAAUCCAAUCUUCACCUGCAACUAGCAACGCUAUAAGAGGGGCUGAGCAAAGCAGUAACAUAGCCAAACAACGGUUUGCUAGAAAAGGUGGGUUAGAGGCUUGA
Molecule: ribosomal RNA, 414 nt
Filed under: Triticum aestivum (bread wheat)
Lineage: Eukaryota; Viridiplantae; Streptophyta; Magnoliopsida; Poales; Poaceae
Description: partial small subunit ribosomal RNA
Source: RNAcentral